GAAUGCUGCUGGUGGAGUCAGCAGGAAAAGCCUUUCUGCCCCUGAUCAACCUCUACCUGAGGACCUAAGGCAAUGCUUUUAUUGUAGAUCCUGAUAUGCAAACAGAACUACAGCACUCCAGAAGUAACCUCAUUUGACUGGCCUAUUAGUUAAUGGCUCUCUACGUUUAUCACUGAAAAAUAAGACAGAUCUGCUAAGACGACUGA
Homo sapiens (human) is the source of this 206-nucleotide long non-coding RNA. The record is from Ensembl. NCBI's taxonomy places the organism in Eukaryota, Metazoa, Chordata, Mammalia, Primates, Hominidae.